RNAcentral lists this ribosomal RNA (255 nucleotides) under uncultured bacterium. Its description in RNAcentral is "partial 16S ribosomal RNA". It matches the Rfam family "Bacterial small subunit ribosomal RNA", at positions 524 to 776 of the family's 1533-position model. The record is from RNAcentral.
UACGUAGGGUGCAAGCGUUGUCCGGAAUUAUUGGGCGUAAAGACGCUCGUAGGCGGUCUGUCACGUCGGCUGUGAAAACCCGGGGCUCAACCCCGGGCCUGCAGUCGAUACGGGCAGACUAGAGUGCGGUAGGGGAGGACUGGAAUUCCUGGUGUAGCGGUGAAAUGCGCAGAUAUCAGGAGGAACACCGGUGGCGAAGGCGGGUCUCUGGGCCGUAACUGACGCUGAGGAGCGAAAGCGUGGGGAGCGAACAGG